This 441-nucleotide long non-coding RNA is filed under the name Lupinus angustifolius (narrow-leaved blue lupine). RNAcentral describes it as "long non-coding RNA (LANG_LNC001665)". Lineage: Eukaryota; Viridiplantae; Streptophyta; Magnoliopsida; Fabales; Fabaceae. The record is from RNAcentral.
AUCACAAUCCAUUAAAAAAAAUCCUCCAUUCUCAAAAAAUCCUCCAUCAAUCAUCCAUUCUAAAAAAUCAUUCACCCAUCAUUUAUUUACAAAAAUCAUCCGUCCAUAAUCACAAAAAUCUCUCAUACACAAUGAAUUCAUAUCAUCCAUAACAAUCCCAAAAUCUCCCACACAUGACCACCCAUCAAAUUACUCAUCAAUUUCUUAUUCAUCUUUUACUCAACCACAAAACCAUAAGAAUUUCAUCUGGAAAGUCUUUCAUCCAUCAUCUAUCCCAAUAAUCCUCAACCAUUAUCUCAAUAAAAAACACUCAUCAAUCAUUUUCUUCCCAAAACAUCAUCUUCCAUGCACAAUCAUAAAAAACAACCAUCUUCAACCAAACAAUAAUAAUCCAAGAUCUCUCAUACACAAAAAUGAGAAAAAAACACAGAAACUCAGGAG